Molecule: ribosomal RNA, 450 nt
Filed under: uncultured bacterium
Lineage: Bacteria
Description: bacterial SSU rRNA
Rfam family: Bacterial small subunit ribosomal RNA
Source: RNAcentral
GCUGGCGGCAGGCUUAACACAUGCAAGUCGAACGCUCGUAGCAAUACGGGAGUGGCGGACGGGUGAGUAACGCUGGGAACGUGCCCUGAGGUACGGAAUAACUGAGGGAAAACGUUCAGCUAAUACCGUAUGAGCCCCGAGAGGGGGAAAGAUUUAUCGCCUUGGGAGCGGCCCGCGUCGGAUUAGCUAGUUGGCGGGGUAACGGCCCACCAAGGCGACGAUGUCUAGCUGGUCUGAGAGGAUGAUCAGCCACACUGGGACUGAGACACGGCCCAGACUCCUACGGGAGGCAGCAGUAGGGAAUAUUGGACAAUGGGGGGAACCCUGAUCCAGCCAUGCCGCGUGAGGGAAGAAGGUCCUCUGGAUUGUAAACCUCUUUUGGCGGGGGACAAACCUGCACUAUACGUGCAGCUGAGGGUACCCGCAGAAUAAGCACCGGCUAACUCCGUG